This 239-nucleotide ribosomal RNA is filed under the name uncultured Pseudomonas sp. RNAcentral's name for it is "partial 16S ribosomal RNA". It matches the Rfam family "Bacterial small subunit ribosomal RNA", at positions 1146 to 1382 of the family's 1533-position model. The record is from RNAcentral. Lineage: Bacteria; Pseudomonadati; Pseudomonadota; Gammaproteobacteria; Pseudomonadales; Pseudomonadaceae.
AGACUGCCGGUGACAAACCGGAGGAAGGUGGGGACGACGUCAAGUACAUCAUGGCCGUUACUGUCCUGGGCUACACACGUGCUACAAUGGUCGGUACAAAGGGUUGCCAAGCCGCGAGGUGGAGCUAAUCCCAUAAAACCGAUCGUAGUCCGGAUCGCAGUCUGCAACUCGACUGCGUGAAGUCGGAAUCGCUAGUAAUCGUGAAUCAGAAUGUCACGGUGAAUACGUUCCCGGGCCUU